CGUGAGUAACCUGCCCUUGACUCUGGGAUAAGCGUUGGAAACGACGUCUAAUACCGGAUACGAACCGCGAAGGCAUCUUCAGUGGUUGGAAAGAAUUUUGGUCAAGGAUGGACUCGCGGCCUAUCAGGUAGUUGGUGAGGUAAUGGCUCACCAAGCCUACGACGGGUAGCCGGCCUGAGAGGGUGACCGGCCACACUGGGACUGAGACACGGCCCAGACUCCUACGGGAGGCAGCAGUGGGGAAUAUUGCACAAUGGGCGAAAGCCUGAUGCAGCAACGCCGCGUGAGGGACGACGGCCUUCGGGUUGUAAACCUCUUUUAGCAGGGAAGAAGCGAAAGUGACGGUACCUGC
This 352-nucleotide ribosomal RNA is filed under the name Mycetocola sp. RNAcentral's name for it is "bacterial SSU rRNA". It matches the Rfam family "Bacterial small subunit ribosomal RNA", at positions 116 to 482 of the family's 1533-position model. The record is from RNAcentral. Lineage: Bacteria; Bacillati; Actinomycetota; Actinomycetes; Micrococcales; Microbacteriaceae.